This is a long non-coding RNA of Neopelma chrysocephalum (saffron-crested tyrant-manakin), 230 nucleotides long. RefSeq lists it as uncharacterized. The record is from RefSeq and is a predicted model, not a curated record. Lineage: Eukaryota; Metazoa; Chordata; Aves; Passeriformes; Pipridae. The transcript is spliced from 3 exons.
GCUCAGCCCUGGCCGUGCUGCGCCCCCCAGGCCACCACGCCUGCCGGGGGUCCGCGGGGGGCUUCUGCCUCUUCAACAACGUGGGGGUGGCGGCCAGACACGCCCAGAGCCUGGCGGGGACCCCCCUCAGGGUGCUGAUCCUGGACUGGGACGUUCACCACGGGAACGGGACCCAGGAGAUCUUUGAGGACGACCCCAGUGUCCUGUACGGGUCCCUGCCCUGCGAUUGG